This is a non-coding RNA of Cyanistes caeruleus (blue tit), 368 nucleotides long. The record is from RefSeq and is a predicted model, not a curated record. Lineage: Eukaryota; Metazoa; Chordata; Aves; Passeriformes; Paridae.
UGUUGUAGGAAGAAGCAGGCUGUGAUUGAAUCUUUAUAUUUGGAUGUGGUUUUAAGUCAAGUCACUAUUUGGUCACAGAGGUUGUCAAAAAGAAGCAGGUUUGAACUUAUUUAGGAAAGUGCAGGGUUUGGUAGGAGAGAAAGGGAGCCGAAGAGAUCCAAGCUCUUGUUUUAAAACUCACACCUUCCAUUAUGACUAAGUGUGCCAAGAAAUAUCGAAAAGGAGUCAGACUGAUGACCAUGGAAAUGGUUGAACAGGAUGACAAUGCAGUGGAUUCUAUUACAGAGAGAAGUGCUGGUCACCUUCCGAAUCAGCCAGGCCAAAGUCAGAUUUCCUCAGGAUCUGAGGUAAGUUGAAAUGUGGAAAGA